This 90-nucleotide transfer RNA is filed under the name Verrucomicrobiaceae bacterium. Its description in RNAcentral is "tRNA-Met". It matches the Rfam family "tRNA", at positions 16 to 71 of the family's 71-position model. Rfam says of the family: Transfer RNA (tRNA) molecules are approximately 80 nucleotides in length. Their secondary structure includes four short double-helical elements and three loops (D, anti-codon, and T loops). Lineage: Bacteria; Pseudomonadati; Verrucomicrobiota; Verrucomicrobiia; Verrucomicrobiales; Verrucomicrobiaceae. The record is from RNAcentral.
CGCGGCAUUCCGCCCAAGCCUUACAUACAGGGCAUGCACGUCAGGCUCAUAACCUGAAGGUCGUAGGUUCAAAUCCUACUCCCGCAACCA